AGAGUUUGAUCAUGGCUCAGGACGAACGCUGGCGGCACGCUUGACACAUGCAAGUCGAACGAGAGAAGAGGAGCUUGCUUUUCUGAUCUAGUGGCGGACGGGUGAGUAACACGUGAGCAAUCUGCCUUUCAGAGGGGGAUACCGAUUGGAAACGAUCGUUAAUACCGCAUAACAUAAUUGAACCGCAUGAUUUGAUUAUCAAAGAUUUAUCGCUGAAAGAUGAGCUCGCGUCUGAUUAGCUAGUUGGUAAGGUAACGGCUUACCAAGGCGACGAUCAGUAGCCGGACUGAGAGGUUGAUCGGCCACAUUGGGACUGAGACACGGCCCAGACUCCUACGGGAGGCAGCAGUGGGGAAUAUUGCACAAUGGAGGAAACUCUGAUGCAGCGAUGCCGCGUGAGGGAAGAAGGUUUUAGGAUUGUAAACCUCUGUCUUCAGGGACGAAAAAAGACGGUACCUGAGGAGGAAGCUCCGGCUAACUACGUGCCAGCAGCCGCGGUAAUACGUAGGGAGCGAGCGUUGUCCGGAAUUACUGGGUGUGAAGGGAGCGUAGGCGGGAUCGCAAGUCAGAUGUGAAAACUAUGGGCUUAACCCAUAAACUGCAUUGAAACUGUGGUUCUUGAGUGAAGUAGAGGUAAGCGGAAUUCCUAGUGUAGCGGUGAAAUGCGUAGAUAUUAGGAGGAACAUCAGUGGCGAAGGCGGCUUACUGGGCUUUAACUGACGCUGAGGCUCGAAAGCGUGGGGAGCAAACAGGAUUAGAUACCCUGGUAGUCCACGCCGUAAACGAUGAUUACUAGGUGUGGGGGGACUGACCCCUUCCGUGCCGCAGCAAACGCAAUAAGUAAUCCACCUGGGGAGUACGACCGCAAGGUUGAAACUCAAAGGAAUUGACGGGGGCCCGCACAAGCAGUGGAGUAUGUGGAUUAAUUCGAAGCAACGCGAAGAACCUUACCAGGUCUUGACAUCGUAUGCAUAGCUCAGAGAUGAGAGAAAUCUCUUCGGAGACAUAUAGACAGGUGGUGCAUGGUUGUCGUCAGCUCGUGUCGUGAGAUGUUGGGUUAAGUCCCGCAACGAGCGCAACCCUUACUGUUAGUUGCUACGCAAGAGCACUCUAGCAGGACUGCCGUUGACAAAACGGAGGAAGGUGGGGAUGACGUCAAAUCAUCAUGCCCCUUAUGACCUGGGCCUCACACGUACUACAAUGGCUGUCAACAGAGGGAAGCAAAGCCGCGAGGUGGAGCGAACCCCUAAAAGCAGUCUUAGUUCGGAUUGUAGGCUGCAACCCGCCUACAUGAAGUCGGAAUUGCUAGUAAUCGCAGAUCAGCAUGCUGCGGUGAAUACGUUCCCGGGCCUUGUACACACCGCCCGUCACGCCAUGGGAGUCGGUAACACCCGAAGCCUGUAGUCUAACCGCAAGGAGGACGCAGUCGAAGGUGGGAUUGAUGACUGGGGUGAAGUCGUAACAAGGUA
RNAcentral lists this ribosomal RNA (1469 nucleotides) under metagenome. RNAcentral's name for it is "bacterial SSU rRNA". It matches the Rfam family "Bacterial small subunit ribosomal RNA". The record is from RNAcentral.